This 547-nucleotide ribosomal RNA is filed under the name uncultured archaeon. RNAcentral describes it as "bacterial SSU rRNA". It matches the Rfam family "Bacterial small subunit ribosomal RNA", at positions 509 to 1050 of the family's 1533-position model. The record is from RNAcentral.
CAGCCGCCGCGGUAAUACGUAGGGAGCGAGCGUUGUCCGGAAUUACUGGGCGUAAAGGGCGUGUAGGCGGCGAUGCAAGUCUCAUGUGAAAGCCCCGGGCUCAACCCGGGAAGAGCAUGGGAAACUGUGUGGCUUGAGUGAGGUAGAGGAUCGUGGAAUUCCUAGUGUAGCGGUAAAAUGCAUAGAUAUUAGGAGGAACACCGGUGGCGAAGGCGACGGUCUGGGCCUUAACUGACGCUGAGGCGCGAAAGCGUGGGUAGCAAACAGGAUUAGAUACCCUGGUAGUCCACGCCGUAAACGAUGUAUGCUAGGUGUAGGGGGUAUCGACCCCCUCUGUGCCGCAGUUAACGCAAUAAGCAUACCGCCUGGGGAGUACGGCCGCAAGGUUGAAACUCAAAGGAAUUGGCGGGUCCCCGCACAAGCAGCGGAGCAUGUUGUUUAAUUCGAAGCAACGCGAAAAACCUUACCAGGGCUUGACAUCCAACGGACCGGCGCGAAAGCGCGGGGUGCUCCUUCGGGAGAACGUUGAGACAGGUGGUGCAUGGCC